Molecule: long non-coding RNA, 396 nt
Filed under: Geospiza fortis (medium ground-finch)
Lineage: Eukaryota; Metazoa; Chordata; Aves; Passeriformes; Thraupidae
Description: lncRNA (ENSGFOG00000011345.1)
Source: RNAcentral
CGGAAAUAUUCCUUGCUGCUCGUGUCCAGAACGUUUCUGUUGAGGGUUGUCCUUCCCACGCCAGGUUCCAGGAAUCAGCUCAUCCCAGAGGAAAAGGCGGCUCCGUGCUACGGUGACCUCCUGCACGUUUCCACCAAGAGCUAUCCCAGAGACCUCCUGGAAAUGCUGACUGCAACCCCCGGCUCGGUGGAAGAAGCCUCUCUCCGCAGACGUUUCUCUGCCGCUCGUCAGGUGCUUCUGUCCCACAGGGCCAUGAACCCCGAGUGCGAGGCGCCGCUGCAGCAGCUGCCCCGGCCGGUGCCACCUCUGUCCUCGGGGGCCAACAGGGCCACCGCGGGGAGCAGGUGAGAGGGAGGGGCAUCAAACCAUCCUCAUCAUCAUCAUCAUCAUCAUCAC